UGGGGAAUAUUGGACAAUGGGCGAAAGCCUGAUCCAGCCAUGCCGCGUGUGUGAAGAAGGCCUUUUGGUUGUAAAGCACUUUAAGCGAGGAGGAGGCUACUUAGAUUAAUACUCUAGGAUAGUGGACGUUACUCGCAGAAUAAGCACCGGCUAACUCUGUGCCAGCAGCCGCGGUAAUACAGAGGGUGCGAGCGUUAAUCGGAUUUACUGGGCGUAAAGCGUGCGUAGGCGGCUUUUUAAGUCGGAUGUGAAAUCCCUGAGCUUAACUUAGGAAUUGCAUUCGAUACUGGGAAGCUAGAGUAUGGGAGAGGAUGGUAGAAUUCCAGGUGUAGCGGUGAAAUGCGUAGAGAUCUGGCAGAAUACCGAUGGCGAAGGCAGCCAUCUGGUCUAAUACUGACGCUGAGGUACGAAAGCAUGGGGAGCAAACAGG
RNAcentral lists this ribosomal RNA (430 nucleotides) under bacterium. RNAcentral's name for it is "partial 16S ribosomal RNA". It matches the Rfam family "Bacterial small subunit ribosomal RNA", at positions 355 to 776 of the family's 1533-position model. The record is from RNAcentral.